This 268-nucleotide unclassified non-coding RNA is filed under the name Pseudomonas aeruginosa. RNAcentral describes it as "tmRNA". It matches the Rfam family "transfer-messenger RNA", at positions 1 to 287 of the family's 374-position model. Rfam says of the family: Bacterial tmRNA, also known as 10Sa RNA or SsrA, is named for its dual tRNA and mRNA-like properties. Its role is to liberate the mRNA from a stalled ribosome. To accomplish this part of the tmRNA is used as a reading frame that ends in a translation stop signal. The record is from RNAcentral. Lineage: Bacteria; Pseudomonadati; Pseudomonadota; Gammaproteobacteria; Pseudomonadales; Pseudomonadaceae.
GGGGCCGAUUAGGAUUCGACGCCGGUAACAAAACUUGAGGGGCAUGCCGAGCUGGUAGCAGAACUCGUAAAUUCGCUGCUGCAAACUUAUAGUUGCCAACGACGACAACUACGCUCUAGCUGCUUAAUGCGGCUAGCAGUCGCUAGGGGAUGCCUGUAAACCCGAAACGACUGUCAGAUAGAACAGGAUCGCCGCCAAGUUCGCUGUAGACGUAACGGCUAAAACUCAUACAGCUCGCUCCAAGCACCCUGCCACUCGGGCGGCGCGG